This 72-nucleotide small nucleolar RNA is filed under the name Helobdella robusta. RNAcentral describes it as "Small nucleolar RNA SNORD61". It matches the Rfam family "Small nucleolar RNA SNORD61". Rfam says of the family: U61 belongs to the C/D class of snoRNA which contain the C (UGAUGA) and D (CUGA) box motifs. The record is from Rfam by way of RNAcentral. Lineage: Eukaryota; Metazoa; Annelida; Clitellata; Rhynchobdellida; Glossiphoniidae.
GCUAGGAUGAAGCUUCAACUGAUGAUAAACACUGAUUAAUUUACAUUUUAUCCUCUAAGAAGUGCUGAGCUA